AUUGAGCGCUGGCGGCAGGCCUAACACAUGCAAGUCGGACGGUAACAGGAAGCAGCUUGCUGCUUCGCUGACGAGUGGCGGACGGGUGAGUAAUGUCUGGGAAGCUGCCUGAUGGAGGGGGAUAACUACUGGAAACGGUAGCUAAUACCGCAUAAUGUCGCAAGACCAAAGAGGGGGACCUUCGGGCCUCUUGCCAUCGGAUGUGCCCAGAUGGGAUUAGCUUGUUGGUGGGGUAACGGCUCACCAAGGCGACGAUCCCUAGCUGGUCUGAGAGGAUGACCAGCCACACUGGAACUGAGACACGGUCCAGACUCCUACGGGAGGCAGCAGUGGGGAAUAUUGCACAAUGGGCGCAAGCCUGAUGCAGCCAUGCCGCGUGUAUGAAGAAGGCCUUCGGGUUGUAAAGUACUUUCAGCGGGGAGGAAGGGAGUAAAGUUAAUACCUUUGCUCAUUGACGUUACCCGCAGAAGAAGCACCGGCUAACUCCGUG
RNAcentral lists this ribosomal RNA (490 nucleotides) under uncultured bacterium. RNAcentral describes it as "partial 16S ribosomal RNA". It matches the Rfam family "Bacterial small subunit ribosomal RNA", at positions 30 to 507 of the family's 1533-position model. The record is from RNAcentral.